GUAGGUGAACCUGCGGAAGGAUCAUUAUUGAAUUAUAAGGCUCCGAUUGUGCUGGCCUCUCGGGGCAUGUGCACGUCUCUGCCCGUUAAUCCCAACCCACCCCUGUGAACCAACCGUGUGUGAGGCGCUCUGUAACGGAGCUGUCUCAUGCUUUAUUAUAAACCCCGUAUGUCAUCAGAAUGUAAAUCUAUAUCCUCGCCUUAAAACCGCGUCGGUAAAAAAAAAUUAAUACAACUUUCAACAACGGAUCUCUUAGUUCUG
This 261-nucleotide unclassified non-coding RNA is filed under the name rhizosphere metagenome. Its description in RNAcentral is "partial ribosomal RNA internal transcribed spacer region". The record is from RNAcentral.